GCAAGUCGAACGAAGUUAUGAGGGAGCUUGCUCCCGAUUAACUUAGUGGCGGACGGGUGAGUAACACGUAGGCAACCUGCCCACAAGAUCGGGAUAACAUUCGGAAACGGAUGCUAAGACCGGAUACACAAUUCGGCCGCAUGGCUGGAUUGGGAAACACGGAGCAAUCUGUGGCUUGUGGAUGGGCCUGCGGCGCAUUAGCUAGUUGGUGGGGUAAAGGCUCACCAAGGCGACGAUGCGUAGCCGACCUGAGAGGGUGAACGGCCACACUGGGACUGAGACACGGCCCAGACUCCUACGGGAGGCAGCAGUAGGGAAUCUUCCACAAUGGGCGAAAGCCUGAUGGAGCAACGCCGCGUGAGUGAGGAAGGCUUUCGGGUCGUAAAGCUCUGUUGCCAGGGAAGAAUAAGGGCUAGUUAACUGCUAGUCCGAUGACGGUACCUGAGAAGAAAGCCCCGGCUAACUACGUGCCAGCAGCCGCGGUAAUACGUAGGGGGCAAGCGUUGUCCGGAAUUAUUGGGCGUAAAGCGCGCGCAGGCGGUUCUUUAAGUCUGGUGUCUAAGUGCGGGGCUCAACCCCGUGAUGCACUGGAAACUGGGGAACUUGAGUGCAGAAGAGGAGAGCGGAAUUCCACGUGUAGCGGUGAAAUGCGUAGAGAUGUGGAGGAACACCAGUGGCGAAGGCGGCUCUCUGGACUGUAACUGACGCUGAGGCGCGAAAGCGUGGGGAGCAAACAGGAUUAGAUACCCUGGUAGUCCACGCCGUAAACGAUGAGUGCUAGGUGUUGGGGGUAUCAUGCCCUCGGUGCCGAAGUUAACACAUUAAGCACUCCGCCUGGGGAGUACGGUCGC
This 851-nucleotide ribosomal RNA is filed under the name Cohnella sp. TBS2-16_Pa. RNAcentral describes it as "bacterial SSU rRNA". It matches the Rfam family "Bacterial small subunit ribosomal RNA", at positions 57 to 889 of the family's 1533-position model. Lineage: Bacteria; Bacillati; Bacillota; Bacilli; Caryophanales; Paenibacillaceae. The record is from RNAcentral.